RNAcentral lists this ribosomal RNA (895 nucleotides) under Colletotrichum simmondsii. RNAcentral describes it as "LSU rRNA". It matches the Rfam family "Eukaryotic large subunit ribosomal RNA", at positions 38 to 963 of the family's 3401-position model. Lineage: Eukaryota; Fungi; Ascomycota; Sordariomycetes; Glomerellales; Glomerellaceae. The record is from RNAcentral.
GCAUAUCAAUAAGCGGAGGAAAAGAAACCAACAGGGAUUGCCCCAGUAACGGCGAGUGAAGCGGCAACAGCUCAAAUUUGAAAUCUGGCCCCAGGCCCGAGUUGUAAUUUGCAGAGGAUGCUUUUGGCGCGGUGCCUUCCGAGUUCCCUGGAACGGGACGCCAUAGAGGGUGAGAGCCCCGUACGGUUGGACACCAAGCCUUUGUAAAGCUCCUUCGACGAGUCGAGUAGUUUGGGAAUGCUGCUCUAAAUGGGAGGUACAUUUCUUCUAAAGCUAAAUAUUGGCCAGAGACCGAUAGCGCACAAGUAGAGUGAUCGAAAGAUGAAAAGCACUUUGAAAAGAGGGUUAAACAGCACGUGAAAUUGUUAAAAGGGAAGCGCUUGUGACCAGACUUGCGUCCGGUGAAUCACCCAGCUCUCGCGGCUGGGGCACUUCGCCGGCACAGGCCAGCAUCAGCUUGCCGUCGGGGACAAAAGCUUCAGGAACGUGGCUCCUCUCGGGGAGUGUUAUAGCCUGUUGCACAAUACCCUUCGGCGGGCUGAGGUACGCGCUCCGCAAGGAUGCUGGCGUAAUGGUCAUCAGCGACCCGUCUUGAAACACGGACCAAGGAGUCAACCUUAUGUGCGAGUGUUUGGGUGUCAAACCCCUACGCGUAAUGAAAGUGAACGCAGGUGAGAGCUUCGGCGCAUCAUCGACCGAUCCUGAUGUUCUCGGAUGGAUUUGAGUAAGAGCAUAUAGGGUUGGACCCGAAAGAAGGUGAACUAUGCGUGUGUAGGGUGAAGCCAGAGGAAACUCUGGUGGAGGCUCGCAGCGGUUCUGACGUGCAAAUCGAUCGUCAAACAUGCGCAUGGGGGGCGAAAGACUAAUCGAACCUUCUAGUAGCUGGUUUCCGCGA